GAAUGUGGAAGCUUCUCGUCGAUAACGUUCAUUUCCGGCGUUUCAUUUUUUGACUUCCUGAAGGGACAGAAGGAUACUGUGAUUUCGAGAAUUAUUUUACUCAUUGUUCCUUUUCAAGCCCGAUUAUAUUUUGCUUUCAGACGUUUCCUCCACUUUGGGGGAAACAUUUGAUCAACGUUUGUCGUUCUGAGCAGUAGCCAUGUCCCACUCCAGGGGACCAUCUGACUGCAAGGUGUAUGUGGGGGAUCUAGGAAGCAAUGCAUCUCAGACUGAGUUGGAGGACGCAUUCUCUUAUUAUGGGCCGCUGAAGAACGUAUGGGUAGCGCGAAACCCGCCGGGCUUCGCGUUUGUGGAGUUUGAAGAUCCCAGAGAUGCCAGAGACUCUGUCCGGGGUCUAGAUGGAAGGACUGUCUGUAACCGGCGCAUUACCGUGGAGAUGUCGACCGGACGCACACGGAACCGUGGCGGCAGCUGGCGGCCCACGGUGGGCUCGGGCCGCUACGGGCGCGGCUGGGACCCGGCCGACCGCUGCUACGACUGUGGCGAGAGCGGGCACUACUCCUACGACUGUCGCAACAAGCGGCCCAUCCGCAGGGGAUGAUUGCGUGUCUGUGGCCCAGCUGCGACGGCACAUCGUCCCCGCCUGCGCCUUAGCACACCACCCCCGCCCGCGCGCGCGCGCCGCUCCUUCCACCCGACCGGCCGGUAGCCGGUCUGCGCAGACACUGGACAGCCACCAGACCGUCCGUCCGUCCGUCCGUCCGUCUGACUUUGAGCGUCAUCGGGCCGCCACAGCACGGCGGACAUUCACGGUCUUCUAGUUUGUCCUUGAACUUAUUCGAUCACUUCAAACGCGACAUGUAACACCCACCACGCGCUGCGGCAUCGCCGGCGGUCGGCCGGCCGCCAAUUUGCGAGUCUUCCUCACGUGUGUUGUGCACGUGCGACUACUUCGUCCGGUCCCUGUGCGGGCGGCCGCCGCCCUGCGGAGCGUCGACCAGCGGCCGCCCGACAACCCGCCGCCAGCUGCACUCUGCCCGCCCGCCCGGCCUGCGUGGACGACUCCCUCGUGAGAGCCCUCCGCCGGGCAGAUCCCGCAGCCGUGACCGUCGCUCUCGCUCGCGCACGCCCACCAAGAGGAGCAGGAGGUCUCCGAGCCGCUCCUACUCGCGCAGCCGCUCCCGUGACCGCUCCAGGUCUCGCACCCCGAAGCGCGCUGCCUCUCGCUCGCCGAGGAGGAGCUCGCGCUCUCCGCGCCGGAACGGCAGCUCGCGCUCUCCAACUUCGCGGCGCCGCGACUGAGUAACGCCAUCAGGAAGACCGUUUUGAGUGAAGCGACGCCCCGCCUGCCGCAUUCCCCGAGAUAAACUGGCCCGGCCCGCGCUACAUCCGAUCAGAGGGACAUGGCCCAGUCAUCCAAGAGCCGGUCAUUGGUGUGUGUUCGUAGUUGAUGUUCGCCCAUGGUUUCGGCGAGUUCUGUGCUUCGUUUCUGUAUCCGCCGCGCCGAGCGAGACUACGGCCGACCGACUACAGCCGACUAUCGUGUAUCAUGUUAUUGGGUUCAUCUUGAAGGCCAUUGUACCUGCACGUUUGUGGCUCUAAAUACACGGCUUAGGCACUGCGUGUCUGAAAAAAAUGGUUGU
Molecule: unclassified non-coding RNA, 1643 nt
Filed under: Amphibalanus amphitrite
Lineage: Eukaryota; Metazoa; Arthropoda; Thecostraca; Balanomorpha; Balanidae
Description: serine/arginine-rich splicing factor 3-like, transcript variant X3
Source: RNAcentral